UAAGUGGGUGAAAUCACAAGUUGGUUUGCUUCCCUUCCUCAUUUUCCUUGUAAUCAGAAGAUGAAGUCACUUCAGAAAUGCAGAGGAGGCUGUGCUACCAUUGGCAUGCCAUGGCUGUGAUUAAAAACUACGGUCCUGUUCUUAAAGGGGAGCUGCCUGUGGCCAUGCUGAGCACUUCUCAGGAUGAGACCUGCCCAGAUCACCUCACACUGAAAUUCCACGUCUGAAAGCAGUUUUAGAAAGACAAUGGCAAAUCAAUUUCUUCUGAGGAGGAUAAACAACUGGCAACAAAUGUAGGCAGGAAAGGGUAGCAGUUCAGAGCAUCCUGCAACAGGCUUCAACCUUGGUUUCUGCUUGCUUUCUGCCUCUUGAAGAAUAAAUGAGAAUGUAUAUAGAGAAAUGAGGUUCCUAGAAAGAAGUUCAAAUUCCAGAUGGAUGAUACCACCCAGGCACCAGCUGUUGAGGAGAAGUGAAACCUUUGUCAAGCAAUACCAAAGAGCAAUCAAAGGUCACCUGGGCACUGGGAAUGUUUUCCGUGAAGGCUGAAGCUCACAACUCUACAAGAGAAUCCAUGGUGAUCUCUAAAGAAAUUAUUGACUCAAGAUGAAGAAGAAUUGGAACAAGAUUGCACUUGCUUCCGGCAUCUCCUGUGAUCACACAUGACUGCAUUGUGCCCGGCUGCUGCUGCUGUGCCCAGCCAUUCCGCAGGCUCCAUCAUCUCCUUGAUAUCCCUUGAUAUUGGAAGGGACUGGGGGAGAAAAGGCCAUGCUUCAUGUGGGAGUUUGCAGAAUGCCAUGAGCAAGGGUGACCACUGCUCAGAGAGGCCUGAAGUGUUCUAUGAUGUUUUGAAUCCCAUGAAACCAUACCAGAGGGGAUAAAUUUUUUGACUGUGUUGAUUUUCUGUGUGGUUCACUCUAGACUUCCUACAACAGACAGCUUAUUAUCUCGCCUUGUGAAAAUCAUACUUGACUUCUGGGAGACGUCUAUCAAAAGGAAAGAAUAGACUGAGAAGCUGGUACUUUCGAUCUAAUUAUCUAGGUUGGUGGUUGUUCAGUGAACCUAUUAACUGCUUGA
Long non-coding RNA from Lagopus muta (rock ptarmigan), 1074 nucleotides. RefSeq lists it as uncharacterized. Lineage: Eukaryota; Metazoa; Chordata; Aves; Galliformes; Phasianidae. The record is from RefSeq and is a predicted model, not a curated record. The transcript has 7 exons.